GGCCCUGUCUCAAAAAAAAAAAAAAAACUAAUAAUAAGACACUGCUGGACCAAAAGGUUUCAAUAUUCCAAAUCUCCAGUGCAAAAAUAUUAUAACAUCAUUAUUAGAUAUUAUCAGUUAAGGAGAAGAACUCACAUCAGCAAGACAGUAUGAACUUAGAGGAAGUGUUUUUAGAUAGGACGAUUCUUGCUAGUACAGCAGUGUAUCUUGGAUGAUUUUUCAAUAUGAGCUUUUGAAAAACAAAAAACCACAGAAACGUUAGUGUAGUUGAUGAGCGUGAACAAAGCUGAAGCUGUGCGCUCUGUUGAUAUGACUCCCAUGGCCUCUGCCUCUUGAUCUCUCACCUGUUUAGCAGUGCUGUUUUUUUCUGUUUGUGCUGGUUCUCUUUUUCUAAUUCCAUAUCCAAGCUCUGAUUACCCCUACAUAGGAGAGUUGAGAUUUCUUCAGUGUCUAGUCAUACCCACCCCAGACCUUUGAAAGUACCAAUGAAGAAUGUUCUGGGGUUGUGGACUAGGCCCGCCCAAAGAGGUAGUGGGGAAGGAAGCUCCAAAAAUGAGAGGUGAGUGUAGGGUAUGGAUGUGUGAGCAGGUGGUGUCGGGGGGCACACAAGGCCACUCUGUGCCCAAAAUGUAGCAAGCCAUGGAAGGCUGAACUUCCAUAACACAGACCUGUAGGCAACUGGUGAUGUGAUCUUUGGGGAGCUGAUUCCCAGUCAUCACUGAUUUUGCAGAAAAGCUGAAAUAACUAGUCACAGUUGGCAUGCUCUGCCCUUCCGUCCAGCUCUCCCUCUCACACUCACCAAAGCAUGUGCACCUUCCACAUACCCUGUGGGUUUUUCAAGUACUUUAUGUUGCAAACAACACUCCAUAAAAGUCAGAAAAAACAGUAACCUACAGAGGCCUGCUUCUGGAAACAGAAAGAAGCCUGCUUUUAUGCUCCACGCAAGCAUGUGUGUGUCAUUUCUAUAAUCACGGCCACAUUUAUAGAACGUAACUUCUGGGGUGAAAAGUGCCGUAAACCACACUCUGAAAUGUCCUUCAAGUAGACUGUAAUUUUAGUUCUUUCUUGAACUGGUAGCACCAAAGGCAUCUGUUUCAAAAGAGCAAUGCCUAGUUUGUGUCCAUGCAGGGGCACUUGCUGUCUUGUCUUUAUUGGUGUUUCUUCAGAAGCAUGAUCCUUUAUGUUACCCUGAGAGUUCACUAAAACAAUAACAGCAAAAAGCAUUUAUUUUUCACUGAAAAGAAAUUAUUAUUUCAUCUUUUGAAUACUGAGACUUCGUUCAUGAAUAAGCUUUAAGUGUAGGUUUUUAGACAACAAAAUGAUUCUCUGUUGUUCAGAUUGGAGCUGUAAGUUGUGAAUUGGGUUUGCUUUAAUUUUUUUCUCUUAAAAAACAAGAGAAAACAAAGCCACACACAAUACAGUCAACAUAAAAAUAGGUUUCUGGGGGCUUGAAAAAUAUUAUUACAGGGAUAGUGUACAAGGUACUUAAACUCAUCUCUGCCAUCUGCGCUUGCCAUCUGCAUUCACCUCUCAGCCAUUCCAAAACCUUCACGUCCUCUUUGGUGGAGCAGAGUGAGUUUUUAACUUGAUAUAUUUACCCACUCAUGGCAAAUCAAUAAAGUGCUUUAGGCAAUUAAUCUCUCUUUAUUGCUAUUUCCAACUUACUGCUCCCAAAAGAUAAAUAUUUGGCCAACCUUUGAAAACUACAAGAAAAUCUAGAGAAGAGGAUGUUCGAUAUCAGUAUUUAUUUUUUAUUUUUAAGUUGCUCCCUUCAUAGGAAAAUCCCUUCGGGGCAUCAGCACACAAAAGAUUAUAAAUACAUGAAAUAUCUCUGUAAUAGAAGGUAGACGUUUAGAAAUGCUAACUGAAGAUGCAGCCCUGGGUAGAAAAUCAACUUAAAGUCCAUAUUUUUGUUUUCUAGACAAUUAUUAUUUUGAAAAGAUGAGUUUUCACAGAAAAAAUUGGUUUUAUUGAAAUUUAAUUGAAAAGAUAAAUUUUCACCGAAAAAAAUCUGGACAUAUGAUACAUGCAAGCACAUGCGCGCACACACACAAGCACACACACUCUGAAAGGUGGCAGCCUGAGCGUUUGUUAACUUGGCUGCACAUUAAUGUUCUGCUGGCAACAUCUGCUGCCAAAUGUGAAUCGUAAGCAGACAGCUGUGAAGGAAGGUAAGAUAACUUCCAGUGUUGAUGAUGACCUAGAAUAAUGGGGAAGAUUAUAAUGCAUGUUGUUAUAAGUUGGGGGGUAUAUAAACUUGGGUUCUUGGUAUAUGUAAAAGAAGAUAGGGUUUGGGAGAAAGUGCUUGGCAUCACAGAGUGAUGACUUUUCAGAAACUUAGGAAGGUAAGUGGGAAGAAAGGUGCUGAUUAAAAAGAUAUUCCAUCUGGAAGAUAUGUUUUGAGAAAACUUUCCUAUCUAUGGCAGAAUUGUUUUUGCUAGAAUAUUCAGAAUAGCUAAAUGAACCCAGGGCAUAGGGAACCUUGUGGCUGCCUCCCCAGCAUCUUUUCUUCCUCCUCAUAUUCUCAAACUGCCCUAGUUUUUAUUCAGUAUCCAGACCACCCUCUUAUAGCCCCAGUGUUUUGUGAGAGGCCGACUCCAUUAGGACUCUAGGAAUGGAGCCUACGGCUCUGCCUCAGCUCAUCAGCAUGAGACCACCCUCCUCCUCCACCACAGUGAUUGGUUCAGAGAUGGUCAUGUGACCCACGGCUUGCUUGGGAGUUCUGGGAAAGAGGCAUGCUGUGUACGUGUGUGUUAUCUAAUAUACAUUGACCCUUUAUGCCAGGCACUGUACUAAAGGGCUUUCCAUCUAUUAUCUCAUUUAACUCUCAGAAGGGGAACCCUGCGCAGUAGAUACUAGAUUAUCCUCACUUUACAGAGGAGGAAACUGAGGUACAAAGAGGUUAAGCAAUUUUAUAAAAUGUUAUAAAAGUCAUCUAGCUAGCAAGUGUGGAGAGCAAGCAUAUUAACUGCUGGUGUUAAUGUAUUAUGUAUUUAAAGCACCUGGCACACAAUUGGUGCUCAAUAAAUGAUUUCCCUUCUUUUUUUAAUGUUUUAAUUGACAAUAAUUGCAUGUAUUUUGUGGUUAUAAUGUUAUGUGGCUUUGGGGGGUUUUCUUACUUUUUAUUUAUUUAUUUAUAUUUUUUGAGACAGGGUCUCACUCUGUUACCCAGAGUACAGUGGCACAAUAAUAGGCUCACUGCAGCCUCAACCUCCAGGGCUCAAGCAAUCCUCUCACCUCAGCCUAGCUGGGACCACUGAGACCACAGUCGUCUACUACCAACCAACCACACCUGGUUAAUUUUUUAUUUUUUUCAUAGACAUGAGGUGUCACUACAUUGCCCAGGCUGGUCUCGAACUCCUGAGCUUAAACGAUCUUUGUGCCUCAGCCUCCCAAAGUGCUGGGAUUACAGGCAUGAGCUGUGCCUGGCCACAAUGUGAUGUUUUGAUUUUUGUAUACAUUGUGGAAUUAUUAAAUCCGUGCUUACUCUUUUUUUUCUUCUUCUUCUUCUUCUUCUUUUGAGACAGGGUCUCACUCUGUCACCCAGGCUGGAGUUGCAGUGGCAGAAUCACGGCUCAUUGAAGCCUAGACUUCCCGGGACUCAGAUGAUCCUCCCACCUCAGCUUCCCGACUAGCUGGGGCUACAGGCAUGUGUCACCACGCCUGGCUAAUUUUGUAUUUUCUGUAGAAACAGGGUUUCGCUGGUCUCAACCUCUCAGGCUCAAGCGAUCCACCUGCCUCUGCCUCCCAAAGCGCUAGGAUUACAGAUGAGAGCCACUGCCCCUGGCCUGCAGCUCUUUUGAUGGAACUCUUAGAAGCAACAGUCCUCUCCUUGGGUGAGAAAAUAUGUAGCCAGGAAGUCGUUUGUAAAAAUUUUGUGACCACAAGGGGGAGCCAGUCAUAGGCUAACAGUAACGAAGAGUUAAGAGGUGGAAAGAAACUUCAUCAAUGAUAACAUCAUUGAACCAUUGAAUCAAUUCAGCCCUGAAUGCUACCAAGCUCUGACUUUGCAAUUACAUGAGCAAUUCUGCCCACUUAAACUAAUUUCCAUUACUUGCAACAACAGGCAUCAUAACCAUUACUCAGGACAUCCUGGCAAACACCUUUCAAGCAAGUCACCACAAGGGCCUGUAUAGACGGUAGUGAUGAUGAGAGGAGCCAACUUUAGCACCAAUGCUAUUUAGCAGUAGAAGGGUAGAAAAAGGGAAAUUUUGAAAGCCCAUUUGACAGUGACUCGGGCCUUCCUAAAGUUAUUGCUGAAGGUGGCAAUAGCGUGGGAAAAUCCUAGAAAAAGAAAGAGCUGGGAGGAUGGGUACUCAAAGGAGUACCGCAUGACCUAUCUUUGGCCAUUGCAAUAGGAAAGCUGAGUGUGGAGGAGGAACAUGAACCAUCUGGCCUCCAGCCAUUUUAACUUAGGAGAAUUCCACCGUGUUGUCGUAAAGGCAAAUAGUCACUGGAGAGGUGGCUUCUCUCUCUCUAGGUAAGUUGAGCAUUAAGUGCCAAAGAACGUUGAGAAUGAGGACUAGACCUAAACUCUUGGCAUUUAGGAAAAAGAACUUAGAUAUCACAUAUGGUGCAAUUAAAUCCACAAUGAGAUACUACUUCACACCCUCUAGAAGGGGUAAAUUAAAAAAAAAAAAUACCAGGUGUUGGCGAGGUUAUGCAGCAUCUGGAAUUUUUAUACACCGCUGGUGGGAGUGUAAAAUGGUAUAAUUACUUACAAAGUUAAACAAUACUUGUAACCCAGCAAUUCCAGUCCUAGAUAUCCACCCAUGAGAAAUAUAUCCACAAAAAUAUUGAGCAAGAAUAUGCAUAGCAGCUGUAUUCAUAGUUGCCCCAAACUGGAAACAACCCAAAUGGCUAUCAAAUGGUGAAUGAAUACAUUGUGUAUCUCUACAAUGGAAUACUGCUCAGCAAUAAAAGGGAACAAACUACUGAUAUAGGCAACAAUGUGGAUGAAUCACCAAAACGUUAUGCUGAAUAAAAGAAGCCAGACCAAAAAAAAUCAUUUGAUUCUAUUUAUAUGAAACCCUAGAAAAGGCAAAACAAAGCUAUAGUGACAGGAAGCAGAUCAGUGGUUGCCUGGAAAUAGGGCUGGAGCAGUUGGCUUACAAAGAGGCACACGGAGAUGUUCUGAGGUGACAGGAAUAUUCUACAUCUUGAUUGUGGUGGGGAUUGCAUGGGUGUAUACAUUUGUCAAAACUCACAAACUAUUCACGUAAAAUGGGUGUAUUUUAAUAUACAUUAUAGCUUGAUAAAGUUGAUUUUAAAAGAAAAAAAGUGGAAUAUUUAAAAAUGUCCACUCUUGCCCUUCUCCCAUCUGCCAUGCUGUUGAAUUGUUUAUUACCUCCUAUAUCCCAUCUGGUUUGUGAUCUUUUGGAGAGUUGGGAAGGUGAGGUUUCAUCCCCGUCUUCCCUCUGGAGCUCAGCACAGUGCCUGGAAUGUAGUAUGUGUUCAAUUAAAUGUCUACUGUAGUGAAAAGACUGGGAAGUUAAUGAAGAGUCCUAGAACACCGUGAAGGGUGAGUUAGAAGACAAUAGAGGUAAACCAAUAGAGAGGGCAAGCUUAAGAGAGGUCUGUGAAAUGAGAGCUGUGGGGAUGGGAGACUGCCAGGAGAUGCAGGAGGCUACAGCUGGGUGAUGAGGCCAGCAGGGACCUGGAAGUGAAGAGCUGAUGCAUCUGUGUUACCCAGAAAUGAUUGUCAGAACAGUGCUUGAUAAAUAGCAGCUACCAGGUGGCUAAUGAACUGGGUACCUGGGAAAACACACAACCAGUACAUAGGUUUCUAGAACAUAGAAAUGACUGUUUAUGAGCUGUGGGGCCUAAUAACCUCCAACCAUUUAAUGAUACGGUACUAGGUUUAGCCAUGUGAAAUGGUCACUAUUAGACUCUGUCCUACAAAAAUGGCAAUUUCAUACAAUUCGACCUACAACUUUAUACUUGAGUUUCACACAUAAUAUUAGUUGAUCCUCAAUCUUUGCCCUGGCCGGGCGCAGUGGCUCACGUAAAUCCCAGCAGUUUGGGAGGCCGAGGCGGUUGGAUUACCUGAGGUCUGGAGUUCGAGACCAGCCUGGCCAACAUGGUGAAACCCCAUCUCUACUAAAAAUACAAAAAAUCAGCCGGGCAUGGUGUUGGGCGCCUGUAAUCCCAGCUACUCGGGAGGCUGAGGCAGAAGAAUCUCUUGAACCCGGGAGGCGGAGGUUGCAGUAGGCCAAGAUCGUGCCACUGCACUCCAGCCUGGGUAACACAGCAAGAUUCCAUCUCAAAAAAAAAAAAAAAAAAUCUUUGCCUUACAUUAGGCAGGUGUCCAUCGCUCCAUUUAUCUCGUAGAGACAAUGGAGGCUCCACUGAGUUGUCAAUGACUUGCCCAUGGUUACUCAGUUAGAAUAGCUUGGGCUGGCACUGAGAUUUUCUCACUCCGUCCCAACUCCUCCAGCCUAGUUUACUGAAAACAUCUGGACUGUGAGGAAAGGAACCAGGUGAAAACUGCAAGGUGUGGGGAUAAGGUAGUACAUUUCCAGAAAUCUAUUUGGCAUUAUAUAUGAAAAGCCGUAUAUAUGUUUGUUCCCUUGAUUUGGGGAUGUAUCUCUUAGGAGUUUAAGAUUCAUGCACAAAAAUGUUAAUCCUGUCUUUAAUCCAGGGAAAACAACUGGAGUCAGCCUAAAACCCUAACAGUAGGAGAAAGCCGAAAUACACUUCUCAAGCUGUGCUGAACCGUGGUUGCUAGAUUGGUCAUUAAAUCGAAGAUCAGUUAACAUGUUGUCUUUCUAAAAAUACGUGAUGGAGAAAAGUUGUGCACACAAAAAUAUCAGUGGCACUGAAAACUGUUUACAAGGAGUUUUUAGUAGAAAAUGUUUAUGGUGUAACUUUGAAUUUACAAAAGGCAGAGCAAACUUGAGUAGUAAAGAGUGGCAGGAUCGCAAGGUGAUUUUUUAUUUUGUUUUUCUGUAUUUCUCCCAAUUUUCUCCAGUAAGCAUAAAAUACAUUCAUAAUCUGGAAAUAAAUAUUUUUAACUAAAA
Molecule: long non-coding RNA, 7019 nt
Organism: Homo sapiens (human)
Lineage: Eukaryota; Metazoa; Chordata; Mammalia; Primates; Hominidae
Exons: 2
Source: RefSeq, a predicted model, not a curated record